GAUGAACGCUGGCGGCGUGCCUAAUACAUGCAAGUCGAGCGAACAGACGAGGAGCUUGUUCCGCUGACGUUAGCGGCGGACGGGUGUGUAACACGUGGAUAAUCCACCUAUAAGACUGGGAUAAUUUCGGGAAACCGGAGCUAAUACCGGAUAAUAUACUGAACCGCAUGGUUCAUUAGUGAAAGUCGGUUUUGCUGUCACGUAUCGAGGGAUCCGCGCCGGAUGAGAUAGUUGUUACGGUAACGGCUUACCAAGGCGACGAUGCGUAACCGACCUGAGGGGGUGAUAGGCCACCUGAGAACGGGGACACGCACCAGACGACUACGGGAGGCAGCAGUAGGGAAUCUGACGCAAUGGGCGAAAGCCUGACGGAGCAACGGCGCGUGUGUGAUGAAGGUCCUGGGAGCGGAAAACUCUGUUAUUGGGGAAGAACAGAUGUGUAAGUAACUAUACACGGCUUGACGGUACCUAAUCAAGAAGCCACGGCUAACUACGUG
Molecule: ribosomal RNA, 497 nt
Filed under: uncultured bacterium
Lineage: Bacteria
Description: partial 16S ribosomal RNA
Rfam family: Bacterial small subunit ribosomal RNA
Source: RNAcentral